Molecule: unclassified non-coding RNA, 400 nt
Filed under: soil metagenome
Description: partial contains 5.8S ribosomal RNA, internal transcribed spacer 2, and large subunit ribosomal RNA
Rfam family: 5.8S ribosomal RNA (bases 1-120)
Source: RNAcentral
GAUGAAGAACGCAGCGAAAUGCGAUACUUGGUGUGAAUUGCAGAAUCCCGUGAACCAUCGAGUCUUUGAACGCAAGUUGCGCCCGAAGCCUCGGCUAAGGGCACGUCUGCCUGGGCGUCACGCAUCGCGUCUCCCCCAAACCGCCAAGGCGGAGGGGAAGGAAGAUGGCUUCCCGUGCCUCACCCGGGCGCGGUUGGCCUAAAUUUGGAGCCCGCGGCACUUAGCUCUCGCGGCGAUAGGUGGUGAACAAGGCCUUGGCCGUGCAAACAACCCGCUGCGAAGCUCUAUGUCACGUGCGCUCGUCGGACCCUUUGAAGUUGCCUUUGGUGACUUAAAACCUUUGCGACCCCAGGUCAGGCGGGGCUACCCGCUGAAUUUAAGCAUAUCAAUAAGCGGAGGA